Molecule: RNA transcript, 1979 nt
Organism: Salmo salar (Atlantic salmon)
Lineage: Eukaryota; Metazoa; Chordata; Actinopteri; Salmoniformes; Salmonidae
Gene: c20h19orf47
Gene name: chromosome 20 C19orf47 homolog
Source: RefSeq, a predicted model, not a curated record
ACGGAAAUUACGUCACGAACGGAGCUGUCUCCUGGAUGCAGCUGUUCUUCUGUGAACAUGGCGUCCGUAACAACAGCCACCUCGGAGUGGAUCCAGUUCUUUAAAGAUGCUGGGAUACCUGCUGGUCUGGCUGUCAACUAUGCCGUGUCUUUUGUGGACAACAGGGUCCAGAAGAACAUGCUGAUGGACCUCAGUAAGGACAUCAUGAUGGACCUUGGCAUCACUGUCAUCGGUGACAUUAUUUCCAUCCUCAAACACGCCAAACAGGUCUACCGACAGGACAUGUGCAAAAUGGCCACACAGGCCAUAACCUCAGGACAGUCCAGCGUUCAGACCGAACUACGAAGAACUGCCAACACCCCCGCCACACGUAUGAUUGCCAACGCCUUGAGCCGCGACUCACCGCCAAACACACCAGCCCAUCACCCUGACAACCGGGCAAUCUCUGUGACAGUGUCCAACAAACAGGCCAAGAGUGGCAAAGCAGUGCUGUGCCGGCCUGCUGACGAGGGGAACGGUCUGCCGGUGAAGCGUCGGCGCGUAACUGCAGAGAUGGAAGGCAAGUACAUCAUCAACAUGCCCAAAGGCACCACGGCACGCACCGCCCGAAUCCUGGCCCAGCAGGCCAAGAAAGGGAAUAAGCGGAUGUCUGUGUUUGAGCGACUGGGAGCCGAGUCCAAGGCAGAUACCACCACGGGCAGCAGCAAGGCCACGGGUGUGUUCAGUCGUCUGGGCCGAGCAGACGGAGCGGAGGAGGAGCAGGGAACUGCAGGAAGGGUUGACGUAGACGGAGUGGAAGAGGAGGAGGAGGAGGAAGAGGAUGAUAGUGAUAGAGAGGGUUCGGUCCUACAGUACGCUGGCGUCCUCAAGCGACUCCCACCCUCCCAGAAGAAAGAGCCUGUGGCCCCCAAGCUGGCCCCCACCACCCUCCGCCGCCUGGGAGGGAAAUUCAAACUCCCCCCCACUGAUUCUCCCUCCUCCUCCUCCUCUUCCUCCCCCGAUGGCCUCCCCCCUGCCAAGCUCAGUGUGCUUCAGAGACUGGGCAAGACCCCUGCCUCCCCACCGCCUGCCGACACCCAGGACAGCCGGGUGACCAGCACCAGAAAUAAGGCCCGGCCAGGCCUGGCCCUGGCCAGCCCCAAGGUCAGCAGCAGCACCAGGGCUGGAGGAGGGGAGAGUUUUGGGGCUCAGAUGGACAUAGGGUCAGUCAAUGUCUUUAAGAGACUAGGCAGCAGGAGAACCUAACACAUAUCAGGUCAUGUCUAGACUUAAACAGUACCUUUUUAUUAUUUGGUAUUAUUCCCCCUACGUGUUGGAGUCAUGAAAAGCAUUGUGUUAUUAUAUCCAACCUUUAUAGAGGUUUGAGACGACCACUGCAAUCGGCCUGGGUGAAUGAACAUUUUGGAUGUUGCAUCGGGUUUUGAAAGACUGGACAACAGCAACUGGCAAACAGCACAUCAAUGAACCUCUCAACCCACAAGCAAGAGCAUCUCAUCACCUCAUUUUAUAUGAACUGUAUUUGUAGAAAUGUGUAAAUGCAUAUUGCUUGAUGAUGCCUACCUUUUGAAGGCUCCACCACCACAUUGAACCUCUGGUUGUGUACCUGCUUGAAAGCCAAGAGAUUCUGAGUUGUCUGUUCACGGAAAAGGAAGUUACCCACCCUUGACCUGGAAGUAGAUUUUAUUGUGAGGUUUUUCCCGGGGCUUAUUCAGUACGUAGAAAUGUAACGUAUAGAGCUCACAUGACGCUUUAGUUGACUAACAAGAGAAGCAUGUUAGUUCUGCACCAUACCCUUUCUAUCUAAAUGUGUAAUGUGCUUUCCUCUAUAAGCCCCUGGUUUGUCAUAAUUCAGCAUGGUAUAGGAACUGAUAUGUAAUGUCCCCUUGAUGUUGAUACAAUACUUAGCAGGUGUUCACCCAACUCAAUGUCAUUUUGAGACUGUGUCUUUUAUUUAUUUUUUAUUAAACUUCACACCGGAA